Molecule: non-coding RNA, 226 nt
Organism: Peromyscus maniculatus bairdii (prairie deer mouse)
Lineage: Eukaryota; Metazoa; Chordata; Mammalia; Rodentia; Cricetidae
Source: RefSeq, a predicted model, not a curated record
ACUUAAUAAGUGAAAAACCUGUAUGAUAAGAACUUUAAGUCACUGAAGAAAGAAAUUGAAGAAGAUAUCAGAAAAUGGAAAGAUCUCCCAUGCUCACGGAUAGGCAGGAUUAACCUAGUAAAAAUGGCAAUCUUACCAAAAUCAAUCUACAGAUUCAAUGCAAUCCCCAUCAAAAUCCAACACAAAUCUUCACAGACCUGCAGAGAACAAUACUCAACUUCAUAUG